UGUUUAUCUAAAUAUAUAUAUAUAUAUCUGUCAUCUAAUGUCUUCAGCAGAGAUAAAGCAUCUUAUGACAUUUAAAUAAAAAAUAAUAAUCUGAAUUGAGCCUUCAGUGUUCAAGAAUAGGUGAUGUACAGAAUAGGUCCCCAACUAGUGCAGUCUCUGGGUGCUGACACAACAGCAGCAUUCAGUAGGACGUAAGUUGCCCUAUAAACAAUGUGGACUUUGUUGGCUACAACUAAAACCAUAUACACAAUCUACAGUCACUCACUUGGAUAACACAUUUGGGGUCCAGUUGCUUUUGGUGCUCAGAGGAACCUGUGAACGUCCUUAUGCUCAAGGAGUUCUUGUGUUCCAGGUUGCCCUGCUCACGUCCUGAUGCCUGACCCUGCAGGCUGCAGUGGUGGGAUUGAUUUGGUGCUGGAGAACCCUUCCAGGGUGGUGUGGAGCUGAGGGAUCCACUGGUUUCCAGUAUGGAAGGGCUUUGCGCUCAAGAUGGGAGCAGAGGCCUGGAGGGGCUAAUCCUGAACUGCAUUUAGAGGAUUGCACAGGAAAUUACACCCCACACGACUUGAGAACGUGCUGGGGAGAGAAGUGACUUUCAGGGAUCACAUAGGAAGCUACUGGCAGAAGAAGGAACUGAAAUAGUCUCCCAGAGGCAGCUGCAAGAGGACAGAUAUGACCACGAGCAGACAACAGCACUCACUUGGGUGUCAAAGACACAGAAGGAAAUGAACUGCAGAGAUAGCUCCUGCCUCACAGCUCUGCAGAGGACACUCAUGGACUCCUCAAGUUAGGGAAGACGUGGGUUUCAGAAGCUCUCAGAACCUUGUACCCAAGUCUGCUUCUGUAUGGAUCAUUCUGACAGAUACUGAAGGGCUCAGAUUUAAGGUGGUGGGAUAUCAACACCGUGGAAGAUGUUGGUAACAUCAUAUUCUUACAUCAGCUGAAACAAUGGAGGAAAGAGGAAGCCUUGACUUUUCUUGGCAUGACUGAAUGGGAAAGGGGAUAAAACAUGACAAAAAAAGCAGGUAUGAUCUAAUUAAAUCUUUAAACAGAAAAUCCUGUAGAACUUCCUGAUGCCACUUGAUUACAAACAUCUUCCCCUCCACAAGAACUGCCUUAUGGUACCCCUCUUUUCACCAGCCUCUAAGCUACCAGGUAUGAGGAGCUGUCCUGUUUUGCUCCACUGCAACAGUCUGGGCAAGCCCUGUCUGGCAUCUGGUAGUGGUCUGGCAGCAACUCAGUGAAUGACCAAGCCAGGGCACUUAGGACACUCCUUACUGAAGAAUUGGAAGUGUCUCUGCUUGGGGGCAAAAUGACCCCCAACAUUCAGGCCAAAGACCCAACCACAGUCACAGCUUUGCCUUGCAGAUUCCUCCACGUGAAGAGGUCAUCUACUCUUGAUAAAAGUCAAUACCUUGGUAAGAUGCUUUGUGACUGUUCCAGGCUGCAGGAAAUAGACUAGCAAGGCUGAAUUGUGCAUGAUUUCUUCUAUUUCCUUGUGUCAGGAAGGGUUUCUGGCUUGGAAAGCUGCCUUCUGUUCAGUGCUCCAGUCACCUGUGUGGAAUCUGAUCAGAUUUCCUAUCUGUGCCGGCGCUGCCUUAGCAAAGAAACUGUCUUGGCAAGAGUUUAAAAUACCUCUUGGAGAGCCUGAUAAAGUCCCUCCCUGCCAAGAACUAUCCUUUGCAAUGACAAUGCAAAUUGACAUAUUGAAUCCACUGUAAGCAUAUGAUUUAAGUGCCCCCUGUACCUUGUGGGCAGGUGCUUUCAGUCCUGGUUUUGGGGACAGCAUCUGGCUUGCCGAAGCUUGCAGCAGAGUCAGGAGCCAAGACAGCAGUAGGACUCCAACAGUUCUUGAUCUGGUGCUGCUUUUGGACAAGGACACUUUGCCUUCUUAUAACUUCAGGCACAUGGAGAAAUUCCAUUCUUGCUGCAGAACAGCACUUAAGUAGCUAGGAAUAGUCUAGGAAUAUUGUUUUCCUUUCUUGGUGGCACAGAAGAUUAACCUCAAAAGGUCAGUGCAUGUGGGGAAUUGAUGGGCUGAGAGAACCAUGAAGUUCUGCCUGCAGCCUCUUCCACAGCUUGCAGUUCCAAGAGCAUUGCCAGCACCAGCUGGCUCAGUCCUCCUGCCUGUACUUAAGCGAAGCUCCUGCUGCCAACAAUUAACUUUGAACAGCAUAUUUCAAAUGCCAUGAGCAUUUUGAGUAAGGACCACAAUUGAGCUCCAAAUGGCUGUGAACAACCAAACUGACCUUUGGCAUCUUCCUGCCUAACCUGCAGGAAAUCUGCAAGUUGACUAAAGCGGCAGAACAAAUCAGUGUUUUUUUCCUAUAUGAGACCAUAUUUUCCAUCUGCAUGAAACCAGCAGCUCCCAACUGAAGAACCAAACCAGCAUUUAAAAUUCAUCCAGUCCCAAGCUGUUACAUUCCAGUAUUUGCUCUGUUUAUGGAGAUACAACCAUGGUGAGUGAACAGGGAGAAAACAACCCAGGCUUUUUCCACCACUAAUAGAACUACUUACAUUUUCACCACCUCUUCCCUUUAUGUUCUCAACUCUUUAAUUCUGCAUAACCAUAUAAUUCCAUCUGCAGACACAUGGUCUUUAUCAUGCCACCCUCAGAUAUUCAAAACACAGCCCUUGCCUCCUUCCAUCAUGACAGAUCCUCUGCAUCCCAAUCCUAGGCUUUUUGCUGUAAGUUCACAUGCUUUCAAAGGCCAAGGAUAUCUUAUCUGGGCUAAGAAAGCAUUAUGAGUUUCUAUCACUGUGGGCAAUGUUUAAUUAUUGUUCUUCUUUUGUAAAGUAAAAACUAAACAAAGCAAUCACAUUAUUCCCUAAAUAGCUAAAUAUCAGCAGUGAGUGAAGUGUUCCUUGAAUAUUCCUUUAUGGGUGUUGCGAAAUCCUCCAAUCCAAACUCUGCUUUGAUGCAGCACUGGGAUGUAGCUCUAUAGUGAGUGUCCAGCCUCUUUAAAAUCCCCCUUGCAAUACAUCUUCAGAUAUUUCAUAGAAGAAAUGCUCUUUUUAGUGAUGCCAACUCCCAGAAUGGCACAUUCUCUGGACCACUCUAGUGCGCCAGUGUAAUACCUGUGAUACUACUAAUGGAGGGGACUCUCCUUUGGUGGCAAUAAUGUGGGGUCAUCUGAUGGGGCCUUCCUGUCUCUAACUGCUGCCACAGAAAAAUCAGGAAGAGAGAGCUGACAGCUCUGGGAGUCCUUCCCCUGCCCCACAGAAUAGAAUCUGCAAAGCAAAAAUAAGGUCAGACACUUUCAAAUUGCUGCAAUAGGAGAACAGGGAGAUCAUUUUAUAUCUAGUUCUAGAAAAGGCUAAAAAUAAGCCUGAUGGGAGGCAGAAGACAGCCUGAAAAUGGAUUAUUCUCAUUUUUUCUGUAAUCUAAUUUGCAGCAGGGCUUGGUUAAGACAGCAGACACGGUGUGUGGACGAGGGAUGGUUCUUUCUGUGGCUUGCACUAGCUUGUCUGCAAUGAGUCCUUUCUUUCUCGUGUUUGUACCCCCACUUUCCAGAUGAACCCUUCAUCCGCACUGCUCCUCGGCAAGUUUCCACACCUCAGCAAAGGUGUUCAUACUUUUUUCCUUAUUAAAUGUUUAAUCUUAAUUUUAGGAGAAAAGAAAAACCUACAAGAGCUGUUUAAAUAACCUGAUUCUUGUGUGAACAAAUGGGCGAACACUUCAGGCUUGCAGCUCUCUCUGGAGUGCUGAGUGGCACCUAGUUAAAUAAAACCCUUCUGUUCUGUCCA
Long non-coding RNA from Melopsittacus undulatus (budgerigar), 3747 nucleotides. RefSeq lists it as uncharacterized. The transcript has 3 exons. NCBI's taxonomy places the organism in Eukaryota, Metazoa, Chordata, Aves, Psittaciformes, Psittaculidae. The record is from RefSeq and is a predicted model, not a curated record.